GUAGGGUGCAAGCGUUGUCCGGAAUUAUUGGGCGUAAAGAGCUUGUAGGCGGUUUGUCGCGUCUGCUGUGAAAUUUCGGGGCUCAACCCCGAACUUGCAGUGGGUACGGGCAGACUAGAGUGUGGUAGGGGAGACUGGAAUUCCUGGUGUAGCGGUGAAAUGCGCAGAUAUCAGGAGGAACACCGAUGGCGAAGGCAGGUCUCUGGGCCAUAACUGACGCUGAGAAGCGAAAGCAUGGGGAGCGAACAGG
This 250-nucleotide ribosomal RNA is filed under the name uncultured bacterium. Its description in RNAcentral is "partial 16S ribosomal RNA". It matches the Rfam family "Bacterial small subunit ribosomal RNA", at positions 527 to 776 of the family's 1533-position model. The record is from RNAcentral.